This 835-nucleotide ribosomal RNA is filed under the name uncultured bacterium. RNAcentral's name for it is "bacterial SSU rRNA". It matches the Rfam family "Bacterial small subunit ribosomal RNA", at positions 562 to 1397 of the family's 1533-position model. The record is from RNAcentral.
AAAGCGCUCGCAGGCGGUCUUUUAAGUCUGAUGUGAAAGCCCACGGCUUAACCGUGGAGGGUCAUUGGAAACUGGAGGACUUGAGUACAGAAGAGAAGAGUGGAAUUCCACGUGUAGCGGUGAAAUGCGUAGAGAUGUGAAGGAACACCAGUGGCGAAGGCGACUCUCUGGUCUGUAACUGACGCUGAGGAGCGAAAGCGUGGGGAGCGAACAGGAUUAGAUACCCUGGUAGUCCACGCCGUAAACGAUGAGUGCUAGGUGUUAGGGGGUUUCCGCCCCUUAGUGCUGAAGUUAACGCAUUAAGCACUCCGCCUGGGGAGUACGGCCGCAAGGCUGAAACUCAAAAGAAUUGACGGGGGCCCGCACAAGCGGUGGAGCAUGUGGUUUAAUUCGAAGCAACGCGAAGAACCUUACCAGGUCUUGACAUCCUCUGACAGCGAUAGAGAUAUCGUGUUCCCUUCGGGGACAGAGUGACAGGUGGUGCAUGGUUGUCGUCAGCUCGUGUCGCGAGAUGUUGGGUUAAGUCCCGCAACGAGCGCAACCCUUGAUCUUAGUUGCCAGCAUUAAGUUGGGCACUCUAAGGUGACUGCCGGUGAUAAACCGGAGGAAGGUGGGGAUGACGUCAAAUCAUCAUGCCCCUUAUGACCUGGGCUACACACGUGCUACAAUGGAUGGAACAAAGGGCAGCGAAGCCGCGAGGUGAAGCGAAUCCCAUAAAACCAUUCUCAGUUCGGAUUGUAGGCUGCAACUCGCCUACAUGAAGCCGGAAUCGCUAGUAAUCGCGGAUCAGCAUGCCGCGGUGAAUACGUUCCCGGGCCUUGUACACACCGCCCGU